UAAAGUGCGUCGUAGUCCGGAUUGGAGUCUGCAACUCGACUCCAUGAAGUCGGAAUCGCUAGUAAUCGUGGAUCAGAAUGCCACGGUGAAUACGUUCCCGGGCCUUGUACACACCGCCCGUCACACCAUGGGAGUGGGUUGCAAAAGAAGUAGGUAGCUUAACCUUCGGGAGGGCGCUUACCACUUUGUGAUUCAUGACUGGGGUGAAGUCGUAACAAGGUAACCGUAGGGGAACCUGCGGUUGGAUCACCUCCUUACCUUAAAGAAGC
RNAcentral lists this ribosomal RNA (269 nucleotides) under Escherichia coli. RNAcentral's name for it is "partial 16S ribosomal RNA". It matches the Rfam family "Bacterial small subunit ribosomal RNA", at positions 1277 to 1533 of the family's 1533-position model. Lineage: Bacteria; Pseudomonadati; Pseudomonadota; Gammaproteobacteria; Enterobacterales; Enterobacteriaceae. The record is from RNAcentral.